AGCUUUGCGCACCGGCAGUAUUGCAGCCAAUGAGGUUUAUCCGAGGUGCAAUUAUUGAAAACUUUUUCCAAUACCCCGCCAUGACAACUUGAAAUAUAGUUGGCAUUGGCAAUUUUUUGCAGUCUCUACAGGGA
Small nuclear RNA from Cebus imitator (Panamanian white-faced capuchin), 134 nucleotides. RefSeq annotates it as U4 spliceosomal RNA. The transcript has a single exon. NCBI's taxonomy places the organism in Eukaryota, Metazoa, Chordata, Mammalia, Primates, Cebidae. The record is from RefSeq and is a predicted model, not a curated record.